This 55-nucleotide transfer RNA is filed under the name Strongyloides venezuelensis. RNAcentral's name for it is "tRNA-Pro". The record is from RNAcentral. Lineage: Eukaryota; Metazoa; Nematoda; Chromadorea; Rhabditida; Strongyloididae.
CAGUAAUUAGUUUAAUAAAAAUAUAGCAUUUGGGAUGUUAAGUUUAAUUUACUGA